Molecule: ribosomal RNA, 421 nt
Filed under: uncultured eukaryote
Lineage: Eukaryota
Description: SSU rRNA
Rfam family: Eukaryotic small subunit ribosomal RNA
Source: RNAcentral
CAAUAGCGUAUAUUAAAGUUGUUGCGGUUAAAAAGCUCGUAGUUGGAUUUCUGCCGAGGACGACCGGUCCGCCCUCUGGGCGUGCAUCUGGAUCGGCCUGGGCAUCCUCUUGGGGAACGUAGCUGCACUUGACUGUGUGGUGCGGUAUCCAGGACUUUUACUUUGAGGAAAUUAGAGUGUUUCAAGCAGGCAAUUGCCUUGAAUACAUUAGCAUGGAAUAAUAAGAUAGGACCUCGGUUCUAUUUUGUUGGUUUCUAGAGCUGAGGUAAUGAUUAAUAGGGAUAGUUGGGGGCAUUCGUAUUUAACUGUCAGAGGUGAAAUUCUUGGAUUAACGGAAGAUGAACUUCUGCGAAAGCAUCUGCCAAGGAUGUUUUCAUUGAUCAAGAACGAAAGUUAGGGAUCGAAGAUGAUCAGAUACCAU